Molecule: transfer RNA, 77 nt
Filed under: Chitinophaga niabensis
Lineage: Bacteria; Pseudomonadati; Bacteroidota; Chitinophagia; Chitinophagales; Chitinophagaceae
Description: tRNA_Lys_TTT
Rfam family: tRNA
About the family: Transfer RNA (tRNA) molecules are approximately 80 nucleotides in length. Their secondary structure includes four short double-helical elements and three loops (D, anti-codon, and T loops). Further hydrogen bonds mediate the characteristic L-shaped molecular structure. tRNAs have two regions of fundamental functional importance: the anti-codon, which is responsible for specific mRNA codon recognition, and the 3' end, to which the tRNAs corresponding amino acid is attached (by aminoacyl-tRNA synthetases). tRNAs cope with the degeneracy of the genetic code in two manners: having more than one tRNA (with a specific anti-codon) for a particular amino acid; and 'wobble' base-pairing, i.e. permitting non-standard base-pairing at the 3rd anti-codon position.
Source: RNAcentral
UGGUUCGUAACUCAAGUGGUUAGAGUACCGGUCUUUUAAACCGGGUGUUGUGAGUUCAAGUCUCACCGGGCCAACAA